This 955-nucleotide ribosomal RNA is filed under the name Ophiocordyceps sp. MC-2016a. Its description in RNAcentral is "SSU rRNA". It matches the Rfam family "Eukaryotic small subunit ribosomal RNA", at positions 129 to 1093 of the family's 1831-position model. Lineage: Eukaryota; Fungi; Ascomycota; Sordariomycetes; Hypocreales; Ophiocordycipitaceae. The record is from RNAcentral.
ACAUUACUACUUGGGUAACCGUGGUAAUUCUAGGGCUAAUACAUGCUGAAAACCCCGACUUCGGAAGGGGUGUAUUUGUCAGAUUCAGAACCAAUGCCCCCUGGGCUCCUUGGUGAUUCAUGAUAACUGCUCGAAUCGCAUGGCCUUGCGCCGGCGAUGGCUCAUUCAAAUUUCUUCCCUAUCAACUUUCGAUGUUUGGGUAGUGGCCAAACAUGGUUACAACGGGUAACGGAGGGUUAGGGCUCGACCCCGGAGAAGGAGCCUGAGAAACGGCUACUACAUCCAAGGAAGGCAGCAGGCGCGCAAAUUACCCAAUCCCGACACGGGGAGGUAGUGACAAUAAAUACUGAUACAGGGCUCUUUUGGGUCUUGUAAUUGGAAUGAGUACAAUUUAAAUCCCUUAACGAGGAACAAUUGGAGGGCAAGUCUGGUGCCAGCAGCCGCGGUAAUUCCAGCUCCAAUAGCGUAUAUUAAAGUUGUUGUGGUUAAAAAGCUCGUAGUUGAACCUUGGGCCUGGCUGGCCGGUCCGCCUCACCGCGUGCACUGGUCCGGCCGGGUCUUUCCCUCUGUGGAACCCCAUGCCCUUCGCUGGGCGUGGCGGGGAAACAGGACGUUUACUUUGAAAAAAUUAGAGUGCUCCAGGCAGGCCUAUGCUCGAAUACAUUAGCAUGGAAUAAUGAAAUAGGACGUGCGGUUCUAUUUUGUUGGUUUCUAGGACCGCCGUAAUGAUUAAUAGGGACAGUCGGGGGCAUCAGUAUUCAAUUGUCAGAGGUGAAAUUCUUGGAUUUAUUGAAGACUAACUACUGCGAAAGCAUUUGCCAAGGAUGUUUUUCAUUAAUCAGGAACGAAAGUUAGGGGAUCGAGGACGAUCAGAUACCGUCGUAGUCUUAACCAUAAACUAUGCCGACUAGGGAUCGGACGAUGUUAUUUUUUUGACUCGUUCGGCACCUUACGA